GCGGUGGUGGUUUGUUCGGCGGCGACGGUGGUUGAAAGGAGGAGUUGGGUAGAGAUGAUGAUUAGUGUGAAGAUUGCUGCUGCUGGAGCUGUGUUCAUUUUUUUUUGUUGCUCUGUUUUUGUUUGAUCGGAGGAGAACAGGAGAAUGAGAAAGAAGAGAGAGAGGUUGGUUGGGUUAAUUUAUAGAGGUUGAAAUUCGGCCGAAAAUUGAACCGGUGAGGUUAGGAUGAUUAAAUUGUUAUUGAAUCGUAAUUGAAUCGUGUUUGCUUAUUAUUAUAUUGUGAUUGUAUUGGAC
RNAcentral lists this long non-coding RNA (294 nucleotides) under Linum usitatissimum (flax). RNAcentral's name for it is "long non-coding RNA (LUSI_LNC001727)". Lineage: Eukaryota; Viridiplantae; Streptophyta; Magnoliopsida; Malpighiales; Linaceae. The record is from RNAcentral.